GGCUGACUCGUUGACUUGGGAGCAGUGGUGUGGGGUGUGUGCGGGCCCCGAAUGUGCAGGGGCUUGCGGCGCCGUUGGAGCGUGGCCGGGAAGCCCUCUCAGCCUUUUCGCCUCCGCGCCCCGCGUCUCCGGGGGCGGCCCUUGGCGGCGUCCGCCAUCUUGGAGCACCUUCCCUGCCGCGUUGCUCGCGCAGAGGAAAUGUCGCUCGAGACGCCGGCGCGUUCGAGUUAACGUUUUUUUGUCCCCCUGCCUUUCUUUCUCUGGCUAAGUCAGACGAGAACGAAGCUUGUGCUCGGUGUUCGUCAAGCUUCCUCGGGGAAAGGCUAACGUGGCGUGCCACCGUUUCCCCCACCCCCCACUUUUAACGCACGCGGGCGGUCGCCAUGUUUUCUGAUCACAAAAUGGCGACACGUGGCCUCGAUCUGUUCCUAAGAAGAAGUUGGGGUGGGCCCGAAAGCUCUAGAAUACACACCCCCGCCCUGGUCCCUCCCCUCGCCAGGUUUUAUGACCACUGGGGAUGGAGUCCUUCAUUUUGGUCCAAAGCUCGUUGGAUCAAUUUUAAUCCGUGCUCCAGCCCCUUUGAUUUGAAACAGGAAUGCCAAUAACUGAAAUGGGGCAUAAUAUUGGUUCUCCAGCUCUGUUAAAAUUGGGUGGUGAAUAAUGGGAUGUGGUACCAGGGAGUAAUUUGGGAGCCCCUGACCACUCCAGCAGGAAAGCAUUUAGAAAUUACUGCUUUAAGAAAUAAUGCGGGAAUUUCUUGCUUUUCUAGUUUUCCUGGCAUAGAUUGAUGUACUGGAGGGUCCCAGAGAGGAUUUUACAAGGAUUAGGCUUUGUGAAGUGUGUAGGGCAUUUGGGUGUUUUUUCACGGUCCAGCUGGCCCAUGUACCUCAGUUUACUAUGAUUGGUAUUCACUGUGAGUCUAGAAAAUUCACGUGUUUACUGUGAUGCUUAGGCAUUUGGCCGAUACCAUGUUUUUAACUGUGAUGUUCUGAGGUAGGUGGUAUCAUCUGUUUUCUCUCUCUUUUUUUAAAACAGAGGAAGAUAACAAACACGAAGGGUUUAAGUCAAGGUCACACGUGUCAUACACGGAAUCCAGACCUGAAUUUCUUCCUGAGUUGUGUGGCAUGUGACUGUGUGAGGUGUGAGGCCCAGCAGGCUGUCAUAGAGACUAAUUGAUGGUGAAUCAGCUGUUGGUCCGAUAAAAAGAGAGGAGGAAAGACAGAGGAAGAUCUUCCGUCUGCUGAUUCACCCCCCAGGCGACCUCAACAGCUGGUGCUAUGCCGAUCUGAAGCCAGGAGCCUGGAACUUCCUCCAGGUCUCCCACGUGGGUACAGAGUCCGAAGGCUUUGGGCCACAUUCUCUACUGCUUUUCCAGGCCAUAGUAAGAGAGCUAGAUGGGAAGUAGAACAGCUGGGGCACAGACUGGUUCCCGUAUGGGAUCCCAGUGCAAGGUGAGGAUUUAGCAUUGAGCCAUUAUGCCAGACCCCGUUUUUCCAUACUUUCCCACUAUCAUUUUAAGAUAAAUCCCAAGAAAUGGCAUGAGUCAAGAUAUUCACAUUUACAAUGUAAACUGAUAAAGUCAAACCACCCUUAAGAAUAUGAACUGGAAAAAAAAAAAGAAUAUGAAUUUCUGGAGCAGGUGUAUUGGCUCAAUUGACUAAUCCUUCACCUCUAAGUGCUGGCACCCCAUUUGGGUGCCGAUUUGUGUUCCAACUGUUCAA
Ochotona princeps (American pika) is the source of this 1721-nucleotide long non-coding RNA. RefSeq lists it as uncharacterized. Lineage: Eukaryota; Metazoa; Chordata; Mammalia; Lagomorpha; Ochotonidae. The transcript is spliced from 3 exons. The record is from RefSeq and is a predicted model, not a curated record.